UUUUUUGGUUAGCAGAGGAAAAAGGCAACACCUAUGUAUUUAAGGUGGAAGGGUUUUUGUAAAGAAAUAAAUUUUUUCUUCUAUGUCCUAGGGAGGACACGGGUUAGUAUAGAGUUGCUAUUUCUUUGUUUCUAUUUCAUUUCUUUUCUAUGUGGUGUACAUCUAAGUUGUAAUAUGUGUAGUUGGAAUCACAAUAAAGAAUCUUUUAUUGGUAAAUAAAAUGAUAAGAUAUAGUUGAUGAUAAAUGCAGAGUAUGUUUUUUGGUACUAGUGGAGAUAAAUGACAGAAAAGAAAGAAAGCAGAAUGCGUAGAGAAGAAUAACCUUGUUAAACAUUUUAGAGACUAAUAAAAGAUUAACUAAUUCUUUGUAUGACUAAAAUAGAUUAAUUAAUUAUAUAUAUAUGCAUGAGUGACUGGUUGUUAAAAAUGAUGUUGUGUACAAUUUUGAGCUUGCAAUUGUGAACUUUUCUUUGUGAAAACUUGCAGUUGAUAAACGGGUAUGGAGGUCUGCUAGAUGAGAAGAGUAUAGCCUAAUCACAGCAAUCGAAGGCCUCAGAAUGAUCAGGCAAAGUGACGUACCCCUUUCAUACUAUACACGACUUUGGUAUGUUGUUUGCUUAUUCUAUAAAGAUUGGAAUAACUUGAGAUUUAGACGAAGGCUAGCCAGGAGUAUAAUAAUUGAAGAUGGCAUUGAACCCAGGCUCACAUGGAAUGAUGAUGGACCCCAUUUUGUGUCUGUACAUCUGGGGAAGAGGGUCAGAUAAAAUAUUAGUUUAUUGCCUUACUCUUGGAGUUAGAACCUGUUUGUAACCUGCAAAAUGGCUUAUUUGGCAUCAAACUUUCUCUACGUACAAUUUUAUCUAAAGAAAAGUGCUUAAUUACUCAUAUUACAUGAAGUAUUGUUAAUGCAUUCAUGCCAAAAUUUAUUGGAAUUACUAAUUGCAUUUGUCGCA
Long non-coding RNA from Quercus robur (English oak), 953 nucleotides. RefSeq lists it as uncharacterized. The transcript has 2 exons. Lineage: Eukaryota; Viridiplantae; Streptophyta; Magnoliopsida; Fagales; Fagaceae. The record is from RefSeq and is a predicted model, not a curated record.